GGAAGUCCAAAAACCAUGCUACAUUCGCUACCCCUCUAUCAAGCCUUUCCCGUAUAUUUGUUGAAGCAAAAUUAUCCCUUUCCCACGUGAACCAUAAACCCAAAAAACCUAUAUCCAUUAAUUGACACUCCUCAAGAGCAACACGAAAAGCCUCCAUUCUCUUUUCCUCUCUUAGAACCCCUCAUUCGUUCUCAAAAGAGUAAAGAAUUUCAUUAAAAUCCCCACAGACUAGAUCAGAGUCUUCCUAGUUG
This 251-nucleotide long non-coding RNA is filed under the name Gossypium barbadense (sea-island cotton). RNAcentral's name for it is "long non-coding RNA (GBAR_LNC009027)". Lineage: Eukaryota; Viridiplantae; Streptophyta; Magnoliopsida; Malvales; Malvaceae. The record is from RNAcentral.